CCUACGGUGGGCAGCAGUGAGGAAUAUUGGUCAAUGGGCUUACGCCUGAACCAGCCAAGUCGCGUGAGGGAAGACUGCCCUAUGGGUUGUAAACCUCUUUUGUCAGGGAGCAACGCCGACUACGCGUAGCCGGACUGAGAGUACCUGCAGACAAAGCAUCGGCUAACUCCGUGCCAGCAGCCGCGGUAAUACGGAGGAUGCGCGCGUUCUCCGGAUUUUUGGGGUUAAAAGGGUGCGUAGGCGGAAUGCCAAGUCAGCGGUAAAAGCGCGGGGCUCAACCGCGCUCCGCCGUUGAAACUGGCGUUCUUGAGUGGGCGAGAAGUAUGCGGAAUGCGUGGUGUAGCGGUGAAAUGCAUAGAUAUCACGCAGAACUCCGAUUGCGAAGGCAGCAUACCGGCGCCCAACUGACGCUGAGGCACGAAAGCGUGGGUAUCGAACAGGAUUAGAUACCCUUGUAGUC
Molecule: ribosomal RNA, 460 nt
Filed under: uncultured bacterium
Lineage: Bacteria
Description: partial 16S ribosomal RNA
Rfam family: Bacterial small subunit ribosomal RNA
Source: RNAcentral